UACGAAGGGGGCUAGCGUUGCUCGGAAUUACUGGGCGUAAAGGGCGCGUAGGCGGGCUGCCAAGUCCGGGGUGAAAUCCUCCAGCUUAACUGGAGAACUGCCUCGGAUACUGGAAGUCUCGAGGAGGGUAGGGGCAAGUGGAACCGUGGGUGGAGCGGUGAAAUGCGUUGAUAUCCAUGGGAACUCCGGUGGCGAAGGCGACUUGCUGGACCCUUUCUGACGCUGAGGCUCGAAAGCCAGGGGAGCAAACGGG
RNAcentral lists this ribosomal RNA (253 nucleotides) under uncultured bacterium. RNAcentral's name for it is "partial 16S ribosomal RNA". It matches the Rfam family "Bacterial small subunit ribosomal RNA", at positions 524 to 776 of the family's 1533-position model. The record is from RNAcentral.